RNAcentral lists this ribosomal RNA (492 nucleotides) under uncultured bacterium. RNAcentral describes it as "partial 16S ribosomal RNA". It matches the Rfam family "Bacterial small subunit ribosomal RNA", at positions 29 to 507 of the family's 1533-position model. The record is from RNAcentral.
AGUGAACGCUGGCGGUAGGCCUAACACAUGCAAGUCGAACGGCAGCACAGUAAGAGCUUGCUCUUACGGGUGGCGAGUGGCGGACGGGUGAGGAAUACAUCGGAAUCUACUUUUUCGUGGGGGAUAACGUAGGGAAACUUACGCUAAUACCGCAUACGACCUACGGGUGAAAGCAGGGGAUCUUCGGACCUUGCGCGAUUGAAUGAGCCGAUGUCGGAUUAGCUAGUUGGCGGGGUAAAGGCCCACCAAGGCGACGAUCCGUAGCUGGUCUGAGAGGAUGAUCAGCCAAACUGGAACUGAGACACGGUCCAGACUCCUACGGGAGGCAGCAGUGGGGAAUAUUGGACAAGGGGCGCAAGCCUGAUCCAGCCAUACCGCGUGGGUGAAGAAGGCCUUCGGGUUGUAAAGCCCUUUUGUUGGGAAAGAAAAGCAGCAGGUUAAUACCCCGCUGUUCUGACGGUACCCAAAGAAUAAGCACCGGCUAACUUCGUG